CUUUUGAUAAGUGUAAGUAGUUUAUUGAAUAAGGGGAGGGAAAGUUCUGGUGUCAGCCGCCGCGGUAAUACCAGCUCCCCGAGUGGUUGGGACGAUUAUUGGGCCUAAAGCAUCCGUAUCCCGUUCUGUAGGUCUUAUGUUAAAACCAAUUGCUUAACAAUUGGAUCGCAUGAGAUACCACAAAACUAGGAGGCGGGAGAGGUGGACGGUACUCCACGGGUAGGGGUAAAAUCCUCUGAACCAUGGAAGACCACCAGUGGCGAAGGCGGUCCACCAGAACGCGCUCGACGGUGAGGGAUGGAAGCUGGGGUAGCGAACCGGAUUAGAUACCCGGGUAGUCCCAGCUGUAAACGAUGCAAGCUAGGUGAUGCAUUAGCCAUGUGUUAAUGCAGUGCCGCAGGGAAGCCGUUAAGCUUGCCGCCUGGGGAGUACGGUCGCAAGGCUGAAACUUAAAGGAA
This 458-nucleotide ribosomal RNA is filed under the name uncultured crenarchaeote. Its description in RNAcentral is "bacterial SSU rRNA". It matches the Rfam family "Archaeal small subunit ribosomal RNA", at positions 407 to 864 of the family's 1478-position model. Lineage: Archaea; Thermoproteati; Thermoproteota. The record is from RNAcentral.